RNAcentral lists this ribosomal RNA (478 nucleotides) under uncultured bacterium. RNAcentral describes it as "partial 16S ribosomal RNA". It matches the Rfam family "Bacterial small subunit ribosomal RNA", at positions 28 to 523 of the family's 1533-position model. The record is from RNAcentral.
GACGAACGCUGGCGGCGUGCUUAACACAUGCAAGUCGAACGGUAAGGCCCUUCGGGGUACACGAGUGGCGAACGGGUGAGUAACACGUGGGUGAUCUGCCCUGCACUUCGGGAUAAGCCUGGGAAACUGGGUCUAAUACCGGAUAGGACCCUGGGAUGCAUGUCCUGGGGGGGAAAGCUUUUGCGGUGUGGGAUGGGCCCGCGGCCUAUCAGCUUGUUGGUGGGGUGAUGGCCUACCAAGGCGACGACGGGUAGCCGGCCUGAGAGGGUGACCGGCCACACUGGGACUGAGAUACGGCCCAGACUCCUACGGGAGGCAGCAGGUGGGAAUAUUGCACAAUGGGCGCAAGCCUGAUGCAGCGACGCCGCGUGAGGGAUGACGGCCUUCGGGUUGUAAACCUCUUUCAGCACCGACGAAGCGCAAGUGACGGUAGGUGCAGAAGAAGGACCGGCCAACUACGUGCCAGCAGCCGCCGUAA